AUACGGAGGGUGCAAGCGUUAUUCGGAAUCACUGGGCGUAAAGGACGCGUAGGCGGGUUGGCAAGUCAGAUGUGAAAUCCUACAGCUUAACUGUAGAACUGCAUUUGAAACUGCUAACCUAGAGUAUGGGAGGGGGAGAUGGAAUUAGUGGUGUAGGGGUAAAAUCCGUAGAUAUCACUAGGAAUACCGAAAGCGAAGGCGAUCUCCUGGAACAUAACUGACGCUAAGGCGCGAAAGCGUGGGGAGCAAACAGGAUUAGAAACCCCAGUAGUCC
This 274-nucleotide ribosomal RNA is filed under the name uncultured bacterium. RNAcentral describes it as "partial 16S ribosomal RNA". It matches the Rfam family "Bacterial small subunit ribosomal RNA", at positions 523 to 796 of the family's 1533-position model. The record is from RNAcentral.